Bombus impatiens (common eastern bumble bee) is the source of this 1278-nucleotide long non-coding RNA. RefSeq lists it as uncharacterized. The record is from RefSeq and is a predicted model, not a curated record. NCBI's taxonomy places the organism in Eukaryota, Metazoa, Arthropoda, Insecta, Hymenoptera, Apidae. The transcript has 2 exons.
AAAAAAAAAAAAAAAAAGAAAAAAAAGUACAUUAAAGAUAUUAAGAAAUAUGAUAAACAAAGACGUACCUUCUUGCGUUUAAUCGAAUAGUCGCAGAAUAGGAGUAUAAAUUAAUUUGUGGUUAAAAAGUGUACAUUGGAUUUAUUAAUUAAGGGCUUUUACUUGUGAAUAAUCGUUGCGCAGUUAAUUGAUAAUUAUUAUAAUCUAAAUGAACUUAUUUACGUAAAAUUAUUAUAAUACUUAAAACAAGAAAGUUAAAGUAAGAAUAAAUUAUAGAACUAAAUUGCUUCAUUUAAAUGAAGAAAAAAUAAGAAUUGCAACUUUUAAAAAUAAGUUAUAUGUUUCUUAAAAUAUUUGAAAAAUAUCCUAUUGUAUUUCUUAUGAAUAAUAGUAGCCAUCAGAAAUCGAGAAUACAACGAUGGUUAGCACCCCAAGAUUAAUACAAGCAAACAACUAUGAAGAAUAACAAAGGAGGUACGAGAAUAUUAAUGAAAAAUUUAAAUGUUCAAUAUAUUUUUAAAAUGCAAUAAAAGUAAUAAACGAAAUAAAAAUAGUUUCUCGUUAUUAACCUCUGUAUUUGUUGUGUUUCCACAUUUAACACUCAAUAUAUUAAUCUCAAUUUUAUUUUCUCGUAAAUACAAAAAACCUAACUGCUUAUUUAUUUAUAAACAUUAUCUUUUAUUUUUACUUAAAAAACGAUUUUAAUAAAAUAAAAGUGUAAUUUAAAAACCAGCGUAAACAAAUUCGAGAGGCGAAAUUGCUGAAAUGUUCGAAGGAUUAAGAUUAAUCUGCAGAAAGGAAUUAUUAUUACAAAAUUUACUCUAAGUUAACGACGACGACGACAACGACGAUGACGACGACGACGUUAUUUAGAAUUUACAAAGAAGAGCAGGCCAGUCCAUUUUUGAUCUUCGUAAUUAAGAAAAAAGGAUAAACUGGAGAUGUAAUUAGUCAUAUCCGCAUUAAGGUGAAUCAUACCCACAUUGAGGAAUAUAUCGUAAUAAUGCUAAUGAUGGACAUGUAACUAGUUAAAUAUAUAAUGCUUACCAAUGGCAAUGAAUGUUUGCUCUUCCAAUACUAACCGAUAUCUUAACAAUAAUUAAAUUCUAAGAGAUAAUUCUAAGAGUAACUACUCCUAUGUUGGAUGCAGUUAAUGCGGUCAUUGCACAGUAAGAAUAUUUAACAUAAGAGUAAAUUAACGGUAAAAAAUACGAGUAACUCUGGGUGAAGAGAUUAAGUGAUAAAACGAUAAAAUGGAACUGAUAGAGUGAUGUUAUA